This 254-nucleotide ribosomal RNA is filed under the name uncultured bacterium. RNAcentral's name for it is "partial 16S ribosomal RNA". It matches the Rfam family "Bacterial small subunit ribosomal RNA", at positions 524 to 776 of the family's 1533-position model. The record is from RNAcentral.
UACGUAGGGUGCAAGCGUUAAUCGGAAUUACUGGGCGUAAAGCGUGCGCAGGCGGUUGUGCAAGACAGAUGUGAAAUCCCCGGGCUUAACCUGGGAAUUGCAUUUGUGACUGCACGGCUAGAGUGUGUCAGAGGGGGGGUAGAAUUCCACGUGUAGCAGUGAAAUGCGUAGAUAUGCGGAGGAACACCGAUGGCGAAGGCAAUCCCCUGGACCUGUACUGACGCUCAUGCACGAAAGCGUGGGGAGCAAACAGG